RNAcentral lists this ribosomal RNA (717 nucleotides) under uncultured bacterium. Its description in RNAcentral is "bacterial SSU rRNA". It matches the Rfam family "Bacterial small subunit ribosomal RNA", at positions 8 to 761 of the family's 1533-position model. The record is from RNAcentral.
AGAGUUUGAUCAUGGCUCAGAACGAACGCUGGCGGCAGGCCUAACACAUGCAAGUCGAACGUGAAGCCACCUUCGGGUGGUGGAAAGUGGCAGACGGGUGAGUAACGCGUGGGAACGUGCCUUUCGGUUCGGGAUAACCCAGGGAAACUUGGGCUAAUACCGGAUACGCCCUCCGGGGGAAAGAUUCAUUGCCGAAAGAUCGGCCCGCGUCGGAUUAGCUAGUUGGUGGGGUAAAAGCCUACCAAGGCGACGAUCCGUAGCUGGUCUGAGAGGAUGACCAGCCACACUGGGACUGAGACACGGCCCAGACUCCUACGGGAGGCAGCAGUGGGGAAUAUUGGACAAUGGGCGCAAGCCUGAUCCAGCCAUGCCGCGUGGGUGAAGAAGGCCCUAGGGUUGUAAACCCCUUUCAGCGGGGAAGAUAAUGACGGUACCCGCAGAAGAAGCCCCGGCUAACUCCGUGCCAGCAGCCGCGGUAAUACGGAGGGGGCUAGCGUUGUUCGGAAUUACUGGGCGUAAAGCGCGCGUAGGCGGACCUGCAAGUCGGGGGUGAAAGCCCGAGGCUCAACCUCGGAACUGCCUUCGAUACUGCGGGUCUCGAGUCCGGGAGAGGUGAGUGGAAUUCCUAGUGUAGAGGUGAAAUUCGUAGAUAUUAGGAAGAACACCAGUGGCGAAGGCGGCUCACUGGCCCGGUACUGACGCUGAGGCGCGAAAGCG